RNAcentral lists this ribosomal RNA (232 nucleotides) under uncultured bacterium. RNAcentral's name for it is "partial 16S ribosomal RNA". It matches the Rfam family "Bacterial small subunit ribosomal RNA", at positions 15 to 237 of the family's 1533-position model. The record is from RNAcentral.
GAUCCUGGGCUCAGGAUGAACGCUAGCUACAGGCUUAACACAUGCAAGUCGAGGGGCAGCAUGGUCUUAGCUUGCUAAGGCCGAUGGCGACCGGCGCACGGGUGAGUAACGCGUAUCCAACCUGCCUUACACUCUUGGACAGCCUUCUGAAAGGGAGAUUAAUACAAGAUGUUAUCAUGAGUAAGCAUUUUCGCAUGAUUAAAGGUUUACCGGUGUAAGAUGGGGAUGCGUU